Molecule: ribosomal RNA, 293 nt
Filed under: uncultured bacterium
Lineage: Bacteria
Description: partial 16S ribosomal RNA
Rfam family: Archaeal small subunit ribosomal RNA
Source: RNAcentral
GUGCCAGCAGCCGCGGUAAUACCGGCAGCCCGAGUGAUGACCGAUCUUAUUGGGCCUAAAGCGUCCGUGGCUGGCCGCACAAGUCCGUCGGGAAAUCCACUCGCUUAACGAGUGGGCGUCCGGCGGAAACUGUGCGGCUUGGGACCGGAAGAUCCAAGGGGUACGUCCGGGGUAGGAGUGAAAUCCCGUAAUCCUGGACGGACCACCGACGGCGAAAGCACCUUGGAAGGACGGAUCCGACAGUGAGGGACGAAAGCUAGGGUCUCGAACCGGAUUAGAUACCCUUGUAGUCC